This 453-nucleotide ribosomal RNA is filed under the name Triticum aestivum (bread wheat). Its description in RNAcentral is "partial small subunit ribosomal RNA". Lineage: Eukaryota; Viridiplantae; Streptophyta; Magnoliopsida; Poales; Poaceae. The record is from RNAcentral.
AUGGAACGAGACCUUCUUCUUUGCCGUCUCCAGCGACGCCCCAGAGCUCAGGGUCAAGAUCCUCUCGGCGGACGACCUCGUAAGAGAAGCAUGACUGGGGUGUGCAGUACUUCCGCAGGUGCCACGAAUCCGGAGCCUGAUGUUGCUGCUGAAGAGCAGAGCGAUCAAGCUCCCCCAAAGGGACAUCUAGAGGACCUUACUCAUCAGGUGCACAUGAGUGUUCUGGACGACAUGGUCUCCUUUUCGGCAUGUGCAAGUGUUGGGUGGUGCUUGCCUACAUGGUUUACGACAAGCUGCAGUUCAGGUGGGCGCUCCAGCUCUCCCUUCUCAUGCUAUACAUCCAGAGCUCCAGGCCUAAGAAAGUUGGAAGUGCGAAGAUGUGAAGAAAAGCGCGAAGCCGUGAAGUGCUACUCAGCAAAGAGUUGUCAGCUCUAUUUGACUGUAAUAUUGUAA